CGCGGCAAUCGUUAAUUGGAUUUUCAUCAUUCAUUCUCCGGUAAGGAUGUUUAACCAGCGGUCGCAUUGGGACCGCUGGUUACC
RNAcentral lists this small RNA (84 nucleotides) under Pantoea ananatis. RNAcentral's name for it is "MicF RNA". The record is from RNAcentral. Lineage: Bacteria; Pseudomonadati; Pseudomonadota; Gammaproteobacteria; Enterobacterales; Erwiniaceae.